This 238-nucleotide ribosomal RNA is filed under the name uncultured bacterium. Its description in RNAcentral is "partial 16S ribosomal RNA". It matches the Rfam family "Bacterial small subunit ribosomal RNA", at positions 96 to 334 of the family's 1533-position model. The record is from RNAcentral.
CGGCGGACGGGUGAGUAACGCGUGGGUAACCUACCCUGUACACACGGAUAACAUACCGAAAGGUAUGCUAAUACGGGAUAAUAUAUUUGAGAGGCAUCUCUUGAAUAUCAAAGGUGAGCCAGUACAGGAUGGACCCGCGUCUGAUUAGCUAGUUGGUAAGGUAACGGCUUACCAAGGCGACGAUCAGUAGCCGACCUGAGAGGGUGAUCGGCCACAUUGGAACUGAGGCACGGUCCAA